This 456-nucleotide ribosomal RNA is filed under the name uncultured Acidovorax sp. Its description in RNAcentral is "bacterial SSU rRNA". It matches the Rfam family "Bacterial small subunit ribosomal RNA", at positions 924 to 1382 of the family's 1533-position model. Lineage: Bacteria; Pseudomonadati; Pseudomonadota; Betaproteobacteria; Burkholderiales; Comamonadaceae. The record is from RNAcentral.
CACAAGCGGUGGAUGAUGUGGAUUAAUUCGAUGCAACGCGAAAACCUUACCACCUUUGACAUGUACGGAAUCCUUUAGAGAUAGAGGAGUGCUCGAAAGAGAACCGUAACACAGGUGCUGCAUGGCUGUCGUCAGCUCGUGUCGUGAGAUGUUGGGUUAAGUCCCGCAACGAGCGCAACCCUUGUCAUUAGUUGCUACAUUCAGUUGGGCACUCUAAUGAGACUGCCGGUGACAAACCGGAGGAAGGUGGGGAUGACGUCAAGUCCUCAUGGCCCUUAUAGGUGGGGCUACACACGUCAUACAAUGGAUGGUACAAAGGGUCGCCAACCCGCGAGGGGGAGCCAAUCCCAUAAAGCCAUUCGUAGUCCGGAUCGCAGUCUGCAACUCGACUGCGUGAAGUCGGAAUCGCUAGUAAUCGUGGAUCAGAAUGUCACGGUGAAUACGUUCCCGGGCCUU